AUUGAACGCUGGCGGCAUGCUUUACACAUGCAAGUCGAACGGACGCGCGGGCUUCGGCCUGGCGGCGCGUGGCCGACGGGUGAGUAAUACACCGGAACGUGCCCAGUCGUGGGGGAUAGCUCGGCGAAAGGAGAACGAAUCCCGCAUACGACCUGAGGUUGAACCGGGUGGAUCUUCAGUCCUCGACCUAUUUGCGCGCACGAUGACAGAUUAGCUCGUUGGUGGGGUAAAGGCCUACCAAGGCGACGAUCCGUAGCUGCUCUGAGAGGACGACCGGCCACACUGGAACUGAGACACGGUCCAGACUCCUACGGGAGGCAGCAGUGGGGAAUUUUGGACAAUGGGCGAAAGCCUGACCGAGCAAUGCCGCGUGUGUGAUGAAGGCCUUCGGAUCGUAAAGCACUGUUGGUGGGAACGAAAAGGAGUGUGCGAAAACAACGGUUUGUUGACGGUACCCGCAGAAAAAGCACCGGCUAACUACGUG
RNAcentral lists this ribosomal RNA (484 nucleotides) under uncultured bacterium. Its description in RNAcentral is "partial 16S ribosomal RNA". It matches the Rfam family "Bacterial small subunit ribosomal RNA", at positions 29 to 507 of the family's 1533-position model. The record is from RNAcentral.